UCACUCCGUGUCCAUCCUCUGGUUAUCCUCUAAAUUUUUGAUUUUGAGCCAGUAUCUAUUUCCUCACACGUCACUAUUCAUGGCCGAUUUAAAAACAUCGCAUGCGAUCGGUCGCAGGUCAAACAGCAUAAAUAUUUAUAUUAUUAUUGGAUGGUUCAGAAAAUACCAAAAAUAUUCUACGAGUAUGGGAAAAAAAAAAUUGUCCUCGUUUUAUUUUUUUCUAUAAUUUUUACAAUAAAUAACAUUUCCAUCCCACCUUUGUCACUAGCGCUAGUGAAGUGGAGUGGAGCCUGCACGAACUUCGCUCGAGGUAGAUCUAGUAAUGACUUAGUGCUGGCUAGCGACCGACGGGUUUCCAUUCUCAGCCAUUCACUGAUAAUUCAGUUAAGACAGUGUGUUCCAUGUGUGUAUGUGUGAUGCGAAGCUACCUCAGCUCAAGCGAUGUAGACGACCUUGUUGGAGCGUACAGUGUAGCGGUAGUGAAGUGGAGUGGAGCCUGCACGAACAUCGCUUUAGAAUUACGUCGUCGGUUGACAUCUACCUAUACCCAUGGAUUAUCUCCAUCACCUUAACAACCUUGAAUUGCUAAGAGAGCUACCUUUGCCAAGACCACAUCGUGGGCUACGGGAUGCUAGAAAUCCAUCGGAAUCGUAUGAGGAUGGGCCAUUUCGAGAUCGGUAUCGACUGUCAAAAGAAACCGUCAUUUACAUCAUCAACAUGCUGGAAGCCGAAUUGAAGAGGGACACACAGAGGAAUGAUCCACUUCCCGUUUAUUUGCAGGUGUUGACGGCUCUCCGUUUUCAUGCAGUGGGUGAGUAAUUGAAUUAAACGAUUAUUGAAUGUUUCUGGGCACUGUUAAAUCUAUUUGACUGAGGUUGUUUCUAUUAAUUUUAGGACUCCAGACAAAGUUGAUGAUGAUGACAAUAUCUAGAAAUCAGAGAGGGAUCACAU
This is a long non-coding RNA of Lytechinus pictus (painted urchin), 951 nucleotides long. RefSeq lists it as uncharacterized. The record is from RefSeq and is a predicted model, not a curated record. The transcript is spliced from 3 exons. Lineage: Eukaryota; Metazoa; Echinodermata; Echinoidea; Temnopleuroida; Toxopneustidae.